This 253-nucleotide ribosomal RNA is filed under the name uncultured bacterium. RNAcentral describes it as "partial 16S ribosomal RNA". It matches the Rfam family "Bacterial small subunit ribosomal RNA", at positions 524 to 776 of the family's 1533-position model. The record is from RNAcentral.
UACGUAGGUGGCAAACGUUGUCCGGAUUUAUUGGGCGUAAAGGGAGCGCAGGUGGUUUCUUAAGUCUGAUGUGAAAGCCCACGGCUCAACCGGGGAGGGUCAUUGGAAACUGGGGAACUUGAGUGCAGAAGAGGAGAGUGGAAUUCCUAGUGUAGCGGUGAAAUGCGCAGAUAUUAGGAGGAACACCAGUGGCGAAGGCGACUUUCUGGUCUGUUACUGACACUGAGGCACGAAAGCGUGGGUAGCAAACAGG